Long non-coding RNA from Synchiropus splendidus (mandarinfish), 1314 nucleotides. RefSeq lists it as uncharacterized. The record is from RefSeq and is a predicted model, not a curated record. Lineage: Eukaryota; Metazoa; Chordata; Actinopteri; Syngnathiformes; Callionymidae. The transcript has 3 exons.
GGUGUGAGGAAGGUGAUGGGACGUAUCUACAGUCUUGGUGAUGGAGACUUGGAGUAAAGUCACAUUCUCUGUCUCAGGCCAGUGAUUGACAACAGAGCUAGUUAAACAGUGAUGAGGCGCUAAUGGAUGCUGGGUCGAGGAAGUGAGGAGGGUGGCGAGCGGGCUUGCAGCUGAAUAUUUAAUGGUCAUAUAAUUCCAGAACGCCAACACACACACACACACAGGCAGGCAGGUACACACCCACCUCAUGACCUGUCCUACACAUGGUUUAAUAAGGGAAACAGUCCUUUCGUUUAACUGGCAAAAGAGCAAACGCAGGCCCUGAGGGAAUAAAAAGACCCCUCCUGAUCUGCUGUUUAGUAGCAGCAGUGGACCACCUCCGACUAUCUGCUCGUGCUGGGAGGAAGGGCAGAGGAGCAUGGAGAUGGUUGACUCUGCUCAGUGAAGUGCGGGAGAUGUGUGUGUGUGUGUGUGUGUGUGUGUGUGCUGAGCAACGUCGUCCCUGUAAAGUCAGCAGAGCGACACAGAUUCAUGUGGACGCUCCUCAGGCAGGACGGCUUGAGCAGAGCAUGAAGAGUCUUUGAGCUGAGGGGCAGAGGAUUCGACUGAUUCUACAAGAGGCAACCUGCAGUGUGAACUUUGCCUAAUUGACUUGAAGCCAUGUUCACUGGAAGCCUGUUUCAGAGAGGAUGAAAAGGCCAAGGAAACUGAUCCUUUUGACUGAAAAGCAACUUUGUUAUUGUAAUAUAUUGAGACAAAAAAUGGAAGUGGCAAUUACAGAAGACGCAGAGAAGAAAAUAUACUCAUCAGGGCGGGAGACAAACGUCAGAGUGUGAGGCUAAUUAGUUCUGAUGGCUGGACUUUCAUUUGGCUAAAAGGUCAGCAACUUUAAAGGUCACACUGGCACACGGCUUUAUGUGAACAGAGCGAAGGAGAAGGCAACAAAAACACUUUGCCAGAACAAUACUUUCACUCAACAAGCUUUAGCCGGCGCACAAGGACAAAAAAAAGAAAAAGAUAUUUAUCUUCUUCAGUCUUUUACAUUCAAGGUCAGGGGCUGAUUCCAGUCUAGGCUGAAGGACCAUGACCAGCAUGUUUAAAACUCUUAUUAACGCCAACAGAUAUUGCGUCAAUAUUCUUAAUUUUAACAGCAAAUAAUAAUGACCAUGACGCAGCCAAGGAUAUUACUCUUCACCUCUUGCUCAAAAGUGUGUCUUUUUUUUUUAAUGUGCAUUAAAAAGUGCCAGCUUACCUUCCUCUAACUUCUGUCGGGCCUCCUCUUCCCUCUUUGCAACUGUGGCCUUCAGCACUUCA